Molecule: non-coding RNA, 37 nt
Organism: Otolemur garnettii (small-eared galago)
Lineage: Eukaryota; Metazoa; Chordata; Mammalia; Primates; Galagidae
Source: Rfam
UUGCCCAUCGGGGCUGCGGAUACCUGGUUUUAUUAUU